UACGUAGGGUGCGAGCGUUGUCCGGAAUUAUUGGGCGUAAAGGGCUCGUAGGCGGUUUGUCGCGUCGGGAGUGAAAUCCACUGGCUUAACUGGUGGCUUGCUUUCGAUACGGGCAGACUGGAGGUAUGCAGGGGAGAACGGAAUUCCUGGUGUAGCGGUGAAAUGCGCAGAUAUCAGGAGGAACACCGGUGGCGAAGGCGAUCACCUGGGGUUGUUCUGACGCUGAGGAGCGAAAGCUAGGGGAGCAAACGGG
Molecule: ribosomal RNA, 253 nt
Filed under: uncultured bacterium
Lineage: Bacteria
Description: partial 16S ribosomal RNA
Rfam family: Bacterial small subunit ribosomal RNA
Source: RNAcentral